GACGAACGCUGGCGGUGUGCUUAACACAUGCAAGUCGAACGGAAAGGCCCUGCUGUUGUGGGGUGCUCGAGUGGCGAACGGGUGAGUAACACGUGAGUAACCUGCCCUUGACUUUGGGAUAACUUCAGGAAACUGGGGCUAAUACCGGAUAGGAGCUCCUGCUGCAUGGUGGGGGUUGGAAAGUUUCGGCGGUUGGGGAUGGACUCGCGGCUUAUCAGCUUGUUGGUGGGGUAGUGGCUUACCAAGGCUUUGACGGGUAGCCGGCCUGAGAGGGUGACCGGCCACAUUGGGACUGAGGUACGGCCCAGACUCCUACGGGAGGCAGCAGUGGGGAAUAUUGCACAAUGGGCGGAAGCCUGAUGCAGCAACGCCGCGUGCGGGAUGACGGCCUUCGGGUUGUAAACCGCUUUCGCCUGUGACGAAGCGUGAGUGACGGUAAUGGGUAAAGAAGCACCGGCUAACUACGUG
Molecule: ribosomal RNA, 468 nt
Filed under: uncultured bacterium
Lineage: Bacteria
Description: partial 16S ribosomal RNA
Rfam family: Bacterial small subunit ribosomal RNA
Source: RNAcentral